This 433-nucleotide ribosomal RNA is filed under the name uncultured bacterium. Its description in RNAcentral is "partial 16S ribosomal RNA". It matches the Rfam family "Bacterial small subunit ribosomal RNA", at positions 29 to 507 of the family's 1533-position model. The record is from RNAcentral.
AGCGAACGCUGGCGGCAGGCCUAACACAUGCAAGUCGAACGGACCCUUCGGGGUUAGUGGCGGACGGGUGAGUAACACGUGGGAACGUGCCUUUAGGUUCGGAAUAGCUCCUGGAAACGGGUGGUAAUGCCGAAUGUGCCCUUCGGGGGAAAGAUUUAUCGCCUUUAGAGCGGCCCGCGUCUGAUUAGCUAGUUGGUGAGGUAACGGCUCACCAAGGCGACGAUCAGUAGCUGGUCUGAGAGGAUGACCAGCCACACUGAGACUGGGACACGGCCCAGACUCCUACGGGAGGCAGCAGUGGGGAAUCUUGCGCAAUGGGCGGAGGCCUGACGCAGCCAUGCCGCGUGAAUGAUGAAGGUCUUAGGAUUGUAAAAUUCUUUCACCGGGGACGAUAAUGACGGUACCCGGAGAAGAAGCCCCGGCUAACUACGUG